Molecule: ribosomal RNA, 900 nt
Filed under: uncultured archaeon
Lineage: Archaea
Description: bacterial SSU rRNA
Rfam family: Archaeal small subunit ribosomal RNA
Source: RNAcentral
UUCUGGUUGAUCCUGCCAGACCUGACUGCUAUCGGAUUGGUACUAAGCCAUGCGAGUCAUUGUAGCAAUACAAGGCGGACGGCUCAGUAACACGUAGUCAACCUAACUCGUGGACGUGGAUAACCUCGGGAAACUGAGAAUAAACCACGAUAGAUCAUAGUGCCUGGAAUGGCUUAUGGUCCAAACAGUUUACUGCCAUGGGAUGGGACUGCGGCCUAUCAGCUUGUUGGUGAGGUAAUGGCCCACCAAGGCGAUUACAGGUACGGGCUCUGAGAGGAGAAGCCCGGAGAUGGGUACUGAGACACGGACCCAGGCCCUAUGGGGCGCAGCAGGCGAGAAACCUUAGCAAUGUGCGAAAGCACGACUGGGUCAGUCCGAGUGAUUCCUGAUAAAGGAGUCCUUUGCUUGUCCUAAAAGCACAGGUGAAUAAGGGGUGGGCAAGUCUGGUGUCAGCCGCCGCGGUAAUACCAGCACCUCGAGUGGUCAGGACGUUUAUUGGGCCUAAAGCAUCCGUAGCCGGCUCUGCAAGUCUUCGGUCAAAUCCACCUGCUCAACAGAUGGGCUGCUGGAGAUACUACAGAGCUAGGGAGUGGGAGAGGCAGACGGUAUUCAGUGGGUAGGGGUAAAAUCCUCUGAUCCAUUGAGGACCACCAGUGGCGAAGGCGGUCUGCCAGAACACGUUCGACGGUGAGGGAUGAAAGCUGGGGGAGCAAACCGGAUUAGAUACCCGGGUAGUCCCAGCUGUAAACGAUGCAAACUCGGUGAUGCAUUGGCUUAUGGCCAAUGCAGUGCCGCAGGGAAGCCGUUAAGUUUGCCGCCUGGGAAGUACGGACGCAAGUCUGAAACUUAAAGGAAUUGGCGGGGGAGCACCACAAGGGGUGAAGCCUGCGGUUCAAUUGG